RNAcentral lists this ribosomal RNA (253 nucleotides) under uncultured bacterium. RNAcentral describes it as "partial 16S ribosomal RNA". It matches the Rfam family "Bacterial small subunit ribosomal RNA", at positions 524 to 776 of the family's 1533-position model. The record is from RNAcentral.
UACGAAGGGUGCUAGCGUUGUUCGGAAUCACUGGGCGUAAAGCGCGCGUAGGCGGCGAUACAAGUCAGGGGUGAAAUCCCACAGCUCAACUGUGGAAUUGCCUUUGAAACUAGAUUGCUAGAGUGUCGGAGGUGAUAGCGGAAUUGCUAAUGUAGAGGUGAAAUUCGUAGAUAUUAGCAGGAACACCGGUGGCGAAGGCGGCUAUCUGGACGACAACUGACGCUGAGGCGCCAAAGCGUUGGGAUCAAACAGG